CGCGGGGUGGAGCAGUUGGCAGCUCGUCGGGCUCAUAACCCGAAGGUCACAGGUUCAAGUCCUGUCCCCGCAA
Molecule: transfer RNA, 73 nt
Rfam family: tRNA
About the family: Transfer RNA (tRNA) molecules are approximately 80 nucleotides in length.
Source: Rfam